CUUCACCGUGCCCAGCCGCAGGGGCCGUUCCACGGGGCGGCCCUUGCCGUACGUCGCGAGCAGGGCCUGCGCCUC
RNAcentral lists this antisense RNA (75 nucleotides) under Actinacidiphila paucisporea. RNAcentral describes it as "Streptomyces paucisporeus ASpks TB sRNA". It matches the Rfam family "ASpks TB sRNA". The record is from Rfam by way of RNAcentral. Lineage: Bacteria; Bacillati; Actinomycetota; Actinomycetes; Kitasatosporales; Streptomycetaceae.